This is a non-coding RNA of Odocoileus virginianus texanus, 1522 nucleotides long. The record is from the annotation of a RefSeq genome assembly. Lineage: Eukaryota; Metazoa; Chordata; Mammalia; Artiodactyla; Cervidae.
UAGGGGCAGGAAACCCCCGUGAAACCACAGCUGCUCAUAUCUGUUGCAGAUUAUGAAGAACCUCAGACAACCAUACCACCAGAUUCACCUCUUUUUCUGAGACACAAGAUCCAGGCCCACUCCCCUGCCACUGGCCUGAGACUUCCUGCCAACAGACCUUGCCUUUUUUACCUCUUCCCUGGGAGUCAGUCUGGUGAUCAGAUGGCGCUGCUGGAAGCUGUCCUCUUCUCCUCCCUCUGGUCUUUUGGCCUUGGGCAAUUAACAUUGGAGCAACCUGAAGUAUCAGUUACUGGAACAAGAGAAAAGAGUGCAGUUAUGUCUUGCAAGGUGUCCUCUAAGGACUUCAGCAAAGAUUACAUCCACUGGUACCGGCAAAAACCAGAUCAGGGUUUAGAACAGCUACUAUACGUCUUAGCAGCCUCUGCGCAAAGUCACUUAGGAGGGACGAAAAACAAGUUUGAGGCCAAAAAAGAUGUUGCCUCUUCCACUUCUACCUUGAAAAUAAGUUUCUUAGAGAAAGAAGAUGAGGCCAUGUACUACUGUGCCGGCUGGGUCUUCAAUCAUUGUGACAGUUCAAUCUGGAUCAAGGUAUUUGGUGAAGGAACUAAGCUCGUAGUAAUACCUCCUGAUAGAAGGCUUGAUGGAGACUUGUUUCCCAAGCCCACUAUAUUUUUCCCUUCAGUUGAGGAAGUAAAACUCCAUAUGGCUGGAACACAUCUUUGCCUUCUUCAGAAAUUUUUCCCUGAUGCUAUUAAGGUACAAUGGAAAGAAAAGAAUGGCAAUACAAUUCUGGAAUCCCAACAGGGAGAUAUCAUCAAGACCAAUGACACAUACAUGAAAUUCAGCUGGCUGACCUUGACUAAAAAGGCAAUGGAUAAAGAACAUGUAUGUAUUGUCAAACAUGAGAAUAACAAAGGUGGACGUGAUCAAGAGAUUCUUUUUUCUUCAGUUAACAAAGAGGUCGCUAAGCAUGCCUGCAUGAAAAAAGAAAGUGAUACCCUGCAGCUGCAGUUUGCGAACACCUCUGCCUAUUAUACCUACCUCCUCCUCCUCCUCAAGAGCGUGAUCUACUUCUCCAUCAUCGCCUUCUGUGUGUUUAGGAGAACAGACAUCUUCAGCGAUUGGAAGAUUUUCUGAUAGAUGGUGCCCUAAAACGGUCAACUCUCCUUCAUCAUCUACAUAAUGGGUACCUUUUUCUAUUAUUGUACACUGGUUUUUCAAGCCACUGGGCAAACAGUUUUCCUCUUUAACAAGGAAUUCUGCCAUUAUUCAGGGAAAGUGCCCAGGACUGGUCCAGGGGAUCCUCUCCCCACCCUGUCCCUACAACCUCCUCAGCUCCUCCAGCCUCCAAGUCCUUGUACCUGCACACAGUGGGCAGCUCCCCAUCUCUUCCCUCAGCACCACCCCGCAGACCAUCACCCCGACCCUCCCUGCCACACAUUCUGGGACUGCCAGCUUAGCUACUUGAAUUCUGUACUUUCUUUUUCAUAAUAGGCAUAAUAAUUAAAAAGAGAAAUCAAUA